Potamilus streckersoni is the source of this 71-nucleotide non-coding RNA. The record is from the annotation of a GenBank genome assembly. NCBI's taxonomy places the organism in Eukaryota, Metazoa, Mollusca, Bivalvia, Unionida, Unionidae.
GAACUAGUGGCCUAGUGGUUAGAGCAUCCACCUUCGAUGCGGAGGUCAUGGUUUGAACCUUGGCUAAUUAA